RNAcentral lists this transfer RNA (72 nucleotides) under Camelus bactrianus (Bactrian camel). It matches the Rfam family "tRNA". Rfam says of the family: Transfer RNA (tRNA) molecules are approximately 80 nucleotides in length. Their secondary structure includes four short double-helical elements and three loops (D, anti-codon, and T loops). Further hydrogen bonds mediate the characteristic L-shaped molecular structure. tRNAs have two regions of fundamental functional importance: the anti-codon, which is responsible for specific mRNA codon recognition, and the 3' end, to which the tRNAs corresponding amino acid is attached (by aminoacyl-tRNA synthetases). tRNAs cope with the degeneracy of the genetic code in two manners: having more than one tRNA (with a specific anti-codon) for a particular amino acid; and 'wobble' base-pairing, i.e. permitting non-standard base-pairing at the 3rd anti-codon position. RNAcentral also lists the same sequence under 2 other names. The record is from Rfam by way of RNAcentral. Lineage: Eukaryota; Metazoa; Chordata; Mammalia; Artiodactyla; Camelidae.
AAAGGUGUAGCUCAGUGGUAGAGCACAUGCUUAGCAUGCACGAGGUCCUGGGUUCAAGCCCCAAUACCUCCA